This is a long non-coding RNA of Python bivittatus (Burmese python), 1615 nucleotides long. RefSeq lists it as uncharacterized. The record is from RefSeq and is a predicted model, not a curated record. Lineage: Eukaryota; Metazoa; Chordata; Lepidosauria; Squamata; Pythonidae.
CUUGCAUGACAGGUCCCAACACCAGUAUGAAGAACCAUGGCAGGCAAAAAAGAGCAAAAUGGCAAUUAUGCUGUCUGGAUCAUAAAAUCGACUAAGUCACAAUAUGGUUUAUUUGAUUUUGCCUCUGCAAAUAUGCACUUAGCUAAAUUGGCUUAGACAAAUGUGGCUGAUUCAGUAAUCCAGGGUUAAGCAGAGGUUGCUGAGAGAAUGGGUUUACUUGGUUUGAUAUAAAUUAGGCUUUCUACGGCCUUUUCCCACUACAGAGUAGAAACAUCUGCCCAUCCUUGAGCCUGUUUGUUUAUUUAUGGGAUUUAUAGGCUGCUCCAGUUUGACACUACUCUGAGCAACCUAUAAAUUCCAUUAAUAAAGAAAUAGCACUGGCAUCUGUUGGCUGUUUCAAAUAACUUCAGUCACUUGAAACCACCCCCCGCCCCCGGCCAGCACCUCCCGUGUGUCUGCUUGCCAUAACUGCACCAGAUCUGUAGGAGUUUUGCCAGCCUGUAUAGGAGAAACAGAAAUAAGGACGUUUAAGAAGUUCCAAACUGACAUGAAAAGCUUCCAUUGCCUCAAAACUUGCAUAUACAUGUUCUGAUUUAUUGAAUGCUAGUGGAGAGCAUCUGGAAAAGAAACCACUUUUUUUUUUUUUUUGCUGCUGCUGCUGCUGCUGCUUCUGCUGCUAUUGAUUUAUCUGCAAAUGUUACCCACCGUAUAAGCCACAACAGGUACUCCACAACUUCUGCUACACCAGUGCGAGUGGCCACAUGUAAAGGAGUACUGAGAAGCUGAGUUCAAACCGGUGAUGAAGAAAUGUAAAAAACAAAAGCAGAAAAGGAUAAAUAUGAUUCCCUGUCAUCUAUUUUUUUCUUGAAAGGGAUGAAGAAUUGGCACCAUGGUAAGGAACAGGAAGGUCUGCUGACUCUGCUUGGCUUCUCUUCUUUCAUUUACAAAGAGAGUAGAUUCAUUUGUGUACCCAUUUGAAAAGUCCAAGAAAAGGACUGUUGGACUGAUAGAAAUCCCAAGCAAGAGCAAGAGCUGCAGAUAAACAAAAUGAGGCCAGAGAAGCUGUUUUUAAUUUCUCCUAAUACUUUCUUGUUCUCCUCUAAGGUCAGGUCUCAGAACACUAGAAGUCAAGGAAAAUGAAUGUCAGGAACAACUUUGAAGAUAGACAGAAUGUGUUUCUCUUGCCACUUCAUAAAAAAUGUAUUUUCAACAGCUGACAUUAGCAGAAUUCCUAUUCUACAUCUUUCUUAAGAUGAAACAAUGUGUAUGUUAUUGUCCUGUGAACAAAGGAGACUGUUACUUGUUUUCUUACUAUAUGUUCCUGUUGCAGAUGCCAUAGAAAUUGUACCUAAUAAUGGAGCAUGUGCUGUAAUUUAAAUAUUAACUUUCCUGAUCUAUUGCUUGAUCAAAUAAUUUUUUUUACUGGUAUAGCAUUAUUUCUUUUAAAUUUUUUAUCCCUCCUUUCUGUUAAUUAACAAACCAUGUUAGAAAAAAUAAUGCAUGAAUAUAAGAUAAAUCAAAUGAUAAAAACAUGAUAGUUUAGUCACAAAUUAAAAUUAAAUAUAAAGAAGGCCAAACUAAUGACAACAGGUAGAAUAACCAGCCUUAGAAUUGA